AUGAACGCUGGCGGCGUGCUUAACACAUGCAAGUCGAACGAUGAUCCUAGCUUGCUGGGGGAUUAGUGGCGAACGGGUGAGUAACACGUGAGUAACCUGCCCUUAACUCUGGGAUAAGCCUGGGAAACUGGGUCUAAUACCGGAUAUGACUCCUCAUCGCAUGGUGGGGGGUGGAAAGCUUUAUUGUGGUUUUGGAUGGACUCGCGGCCUAUCAGCUUGUUGGUGAGGUAAUGGCUCACCAAGGCGACGACGGGUAGCCG
This 260-nucleotide ribosomal RNA is filed under the name Arthrobacter sp. ISO700_OTU247. Its description in RNAcentral is "partial 16S ribosomal RNA". It matches the Rfam family "Bacterial small subunit ribosomal RNA", at positions 29 to 289 of the family's 1533-position model. The record is from RNAcentral. Lineage: Bacteria; Bacillati; Actinomycetota; Actinomycetes; Micrococcales; Micrococcaceae.